GCACCUGCAAAAUCAGGUGUCAGGAUUGGCGUCCUGAAAGUGUGU
This 45-nucleotide small RNA is filed under the name Enterobacter ludwigii. Its description in RNAcentral is "isrK". Lineage: Bacteria; Pseudomonadati; Pseudomonadota; Gammaproteobacteria; Enterobacterales; Enterobacteriaceae. The record is from RNAcentral.